RNAcentral lists this ribosomal RNA (467 nucleotides) under uncultured bacterium. RNAcentral's name for it is "partial 16S ribosomal RNA". It matches the Rfam family "Bacterial small subunit ribosomal RNA", at positions 28 to 507 of the family's 1533-position model. The record is from RNAcentral.
GACGAACGCUGGCGGCGUGCCUAACACAUGCAAGUCGAACGGAAAGGCCCUGCUUUUGUGGGGUGCUCAAGUGGCGAACGGGUGAGUAACACGUGAGUAACCUGCCCUUGACUUUGGGAUAACUUCAGGAAACUGGGGUUAAUACCGGAUAGGAGCUCCUGCUGCAUGGGGGGGAUGGAAAGUUUCGGCGGUUGGGGAUGGACUCGCGGCUUAUCAGCUUGUUGGUGGGGUAGUGGCUUACCAGGGCUUUGAAGGGUAGCCGGCCUGAGAGGGUGACCGGCCACAUUGGGACUGAGAUACGGCCCAGACUCCUACGGGAGGCAGCGGUGGGGAUUAUUGCACAAUGGGCGGAAGCCUGAUGCAGCGACGCCGCGUGCGGGAUGACGGCCUUCGGGUUGUAAACCGCUUUCGCCUGUGACGAAGCGUGAGUGACGGUAAUGGGUAAAGAAGCACCGGCUAACUACGUG